AACGUAGGUGGCAAGCGUUGUCCGGAAUUACUGGGUGUAAAGGGAGCGCAGGCGGAACUGCAAGUUGGAUGUCAAAUCUACGGGCUCAACCCGUAUACGCAUUCAAAACUGCGGUUCUUGAGUAGUGCAGAGGUAGGCGGAAUUCCCGGUGUAGCGGUGGAAUGCGUAGAUAUCGGGAGGAACACCAGUGGCGAAGGCGGCCUGCUGGGCACCAACUGACGCUGAGGCUCGAAAGCAUGGGUAGCAAA
This 248-nucleotide ribosomal RNA is filed under the name uncultured Anaerofilum sp. RNAcentral describes it as "partial 16S ribosomal RNA". It matches the Rfam family "Bacterial small subunit ribosomal RNA", at positions 524 to 772 of the family's 1533-position model. Lineage: Bacteria; Bacillati; Bacillota; Clostridia; Eubacteriales; Oscillospiraceae. The record is from RNAcentral.